GGGCGCUGGAGAACUGAGGGGGGCUGCUCCUAGUACGAGAGGACCGGAGUGGACGCAUCACUGGUGUUCGGGUUGUCAUGCCAAUGGCACUGCCCGGUAGCUAAAUGCGGAAGAGAUAAGUGCUGAAAGCAUCUAAGCACGAAACUUGCCCCGAGAUGAGUUCUCCCUGACUCCUUGAGAGUCCUGAAGGAACGUUGAAGACGACGACGUUGAUAGGCCGGGUGUGUAAGCGCAGCGAUGCGUUGAGCUAACCGGUACUAAUGAACCGUGAGGCUUAACCUUACAACGCCGAAGCUGUU
RNAcentral lists this ribosomal RNA (299 nucleotides) under Escherichia coli. Its description in RNAcentral is "partial 23S ribosomal RNA". It matches the Rfam family "Bacterial large subunit ribosomal RNA", at positions 2649 to 2925 of the family's 2925-position model. Lineage: Bacteria; Pseudomonadati; Pseudomonadota; Gammaproteobacteria; Enterobacterales; Enterobacteriaceae. The record is from RNAcentral.